This 472-nucleotide ribosomal RNA is filed under the name uncultured bacterium. Its description in RNAcentral is "bacterial SSU rRNA". It matches the Rfam family "Bacterial small subunit ribosomal RNA", at positions 28 to 497 of the family's 1533-position model. The record is from RNAcentral.
GACGAACGCUGGCGGCGUGCCUAACACAUGCAAGUCGAACGGAACUGUUUUGAAAGAUUUCUUCGGAAUGAAUUUGAUUUAGUUUAGUGGCGGACGGGUGAGUAACGCGUGAGUAACCUGCCUUCAAGAGGGGGAUAACAUUCUGAAAAGAAUGCUAAUACCGCAUGAUAUAUCGGAACCACAUGGUUUUGAUAUCAAAGAUUUUAUCGCUUGAAGAUGGACUCGCGUCCGAUUAGUUAGUUGGUGAGGUAACGGCUCACCAAGACCGCGAUCGGUAGCCGGACUGAGAGGUUGAACGGCCACAUUGGGACUGAGACACGGCCCAGACUCCUACGGGAGGCAGCAGUGGGGGAUAUUGCGCAAUGGGGGCAACCCUGACGCAGCAACGCCGCGUGAAGGAUGAAGGUUUUCGGAUUGUAAACUUCUUUUAUUAAGGACGAAAAAUGACGGUACUUAAUGAAUAAGCUCCGGC